UUGUAGGCUGAAACUCGCCUACAUGAAGCUGGAAUUGCUAGUAAUCACAGGUCAGCAUACUGUGGUGAAUACGUUCCCGGGCCUUGUACACACCGCCGUCACACCAUGAGAGUUGAGAAUACCCGAAGCCCAUGUCAAAGUGGUCGAAGGUAGGCUUGAUGAUUGGGGUGAAGUCGUAACAAGGUAAC
Molecule: ribosomal RNA, 188 nt
Filed under: uncultured bacterium
Lineage: Bacteria
Description: partial 16S ribosomal RNA
Rfam family: Bacterial small subunit ribosomal RNA
Source: RNAcentral